ACGGGUGAGUAACACGUGGGUAACCUGCCCUAUAGACUGGGAUAACUCGCGGAAACGCGUGCUAAUACCGGAUAAUACAUGAAAGUGCAUGCUUUGAUGUUGAAAGAUGGUUCUGCUAUCACUAUAGGAUGGGCCCGCGGCGCAUUAGCUUGUUGGUGGGGUAACGGCCUACCAAGGCGACGAUGCGUAGCCGACCUGAGAGGGUGAUCGGCCACACUGGGACUGAGACACGGCCCAGACUCCUACGGGAGGCGGCAGUAGGGAAUCUUCCACAAUGGGCGAAAGCCUGAUGGAGCAACGCCGCGUGAGCGAAGAAGGUCUUCGGAUCGUAAAGCUCUGUUGUAAGGGAAGAACAAGUGCAGUAGUAACUGGCUGCACCUUGACGGUACCUUACUAGAAAGCCACGGCUAACUACGUGCCAGCAGCCGCGGUAAUACGUAGGUGGCAAGCGUUGUCCGGAAUUAUUGGGCGUAAAGCGCGCGCAGGCGGUCUCUUAAGUCUGAUGUGAAAGCCCCCGGCUUAACCGGGGAGGGUCAUUGGAAACUGGGAGACUUGAGUGCAGGAGAGGGAAGCGGAAUU
RNAcentral lists this ribosomal RNA (579 nucleotides) under uncultured bacterium. RNAcentral's name for it is "bacterial SSU rRNA". It matches the Rfam family "Bacterial small subunit ribosomal RNA", at positions 102 to 668 of the family's 1533-position model. The record is from RNAcentral.